RNAcentral lists this ribosomal RNA (253 nucleotides) under uncultured bacterium. Its description in RNAcentral is "partial 16S ribosomal RNA". It matches the Rfam family "Bacterial small subunit ribosomal RNA", at positions 524 to 776 of the family's 1533-position model. The record is from RNAcentral.
UACGUAGGGGGCAAGCGUUGUCCGGAUUUAUUGGGCGUAAAGGGCGCGUAGGCGGCCGGUUGCGUCGGAUGUGAAAGCCCGGGGCUCAACCCCGGAACGGCAUCCGAUACGGGCUGGCUUGAGACCGAGAGAGGUGAGUGGAAUACCCAGUGUAGAGGUGAAAUGCGUAGAUAUCGUGAGGAAGACCAGUGGCGAAGGCGAAUCUCUGGACAGUAACUGACGCUGAGGCACGAAGGCUAGGGGAGCAAACGGG